CGGCUCUUUUUUUCUUAUUGUCACCGACGAGACGUCCUCAGUGGCAGUCGCCGUUCUUAUCUACUCACUCGGCUGCGUGGUUGCGCUGUGCGCUGUUCACGACGAGCAGAUAAUAACAAGUCGUUCGCUGUGUGUGUGUGUGUGUGUGUGUGCGUGUGUCUGUGUGUUGUGCCUUCACAAGACAUGUGCCUCGCGUUUCUCUUCCUUGGUCCCCUCACGAGUCACAGCUUCGUCUUCGAUGAGUUCAAAGUAUGACGUGAUCAAGGUCAAGGUGCACCUGAGCGAUGUGCACUAUUACGUCCUCUCGCGCUUUCUUCUUUCCAGGAUGCUCAUGUUCUGCCGUGUUCCCGAGGACACCGCCGUUCGCAUUAGUCUCGACGUCAAGAAGCACUUUGUGAACACGGAGCGCACCUCCAUCACGCAGGCAGAGCUGGAAGACUAUAUAAGAUGCUCAAUGAUCGCCGCAGGAUUCGCGCAAGAGCACGCACAGCUUUUUUCGGUGGUAACACAAUUUCACGCGGAGCGGAUUCCACUGAUACUCUUCAUCGCUGGGCCUGAGCGGUGUGGCAAGACGACGCUGGCACACCUCCUCGCCGCACGCAUAAACUGCAGCACGGUGAUCAACGCCGAGGUGCUGCGCGAUAUUAGCGCCUCGAUUGACGACAGCCUUCCCUCCUUUGCAGUGUCUGAAACAAGCUCACCAGACUCGACGCCUUCCACGUUGCGCGGUGUUGAAGUCUCUGCUGCCGUGGCAGCGGAGGUGGACAAAGCCGUGCGAGAAGGGCGAGCCAUCAUCGUAGAAGGCGAGAACCUGUCCUUCGCUGGCUUCCACCGCUUUCUCGAGCCAUCCUUCCAGUUUUCCACAGGAGCCGUGAUAUUGGGUCUCGUGAUGGAGACCUGUGGGAGCGAGGCGGAGACGGAUGCGAGUCAUGCAUACGUAAAGGCGCUUCCCAACUUGCAGCCCGUUUUCUCGACGGAGCGCCUGACUGUUUUUGCUGCCGACAUGGUCGAUCUUGCAAAAGGCGUCAGUGGGAUCCCUACCGUUUACGUAGCGCGCUGCACCACCGUCGCCGAUAACGUCUGUCUGUCCGUCUUUCUUCACGACAUUGUGGUGAAGCGCAUCAUUGCCGAACUCAAACGCCGCGGGAGAAUGCUAUAGCAGGGUACCCUUCCCCUUCUCUAACUCAGCUGCAGACUGUAGCUGCCCGAAGCGCGCAGAUGGCGGACAGGGCACACUCCAUCUGUUUUUGGUGGCACUCGUAUCGGGGUUCGAUCUCGCUGGCUCCUUGCCGUCUCUGCUCUCUGCCGCUGGUUUCUUUUCUUUACUCGCCUUUCAGCAUACCCAACAUACAGCGAGGGCCGUUCAAGUCCAUUACCGUGAGCCGAGCCAGCGUACCCGUUACCCGGCAAUCUCCUCACUGUCUUCUCUCCUCUUGGGUGUCCCCUUCUUGCCGUGGGCAUAUGAGGGUGUUGCUGCUACAGCAAACGCUGCUGAAACGAUCAGUGGUAUGUGCGGAUGCGGAUGCUGUUCCUUCUUGUCUCACUACUUUGCAUAUUAUUUCCGCGAACCAGUGCGCGCCCUCUCUCCUUUGUCUUCCUCCAUUCUUUCCCCGUCUUUUUUUUUGUCGACCCCCUCACACCUUCUUUGAACGCUUGUGGCCUUCACCCACCCCUUCGCCUCACAUCUUCAG
This 1691-nucleotide unclassified non-coding RNA is filed under the name Leishmania donovani. RNAcentral's name for it is "gene:LdHU3.35.6830(CDS-product:hypothetical_prote in_conserved)". Lineage: Eukaryota; Euglenozoa; Kinetoplastea; Trypanosomatida; Trypanosomatidae. The record is from RNAcentral.